AGCUCCAAUAGCGUAUAUUAAAAUUGCUGCAGUUAAAGCGUCCGUAGUUGGAUUUCGUCCAAAUCGAAGAGGUAUUCGUCAGCAAACUUGUUGAAUGUAAUUCUCUUUGUUUGGGACUCGGGUGGGUUGAAUCUCAAACCACUCUGUUACUUUGAGCAAAUUGGAGUGCUCCAACCAGGCUAAUGCUUGAACAGCUCAGCAUGGAAUAACAAUAUAGGACUGUGUUCCGCCUUGUUGGUGAAGUGGAAUACAAGUAAUGGUUGAUAGGGACAUACGGGGGCAUCUGUACUUGCUGGAGAGAGGUGAAAUUCUAAGACCCAGCAAAGACAAACAAGUGCGAAAGCAUUUGCCCAGUGUGUGCCUG
Molecule: ribosomal RNA, 364 nt
Filed under: uncultured eukaryote
Lineage: Eukaryota
Description: SSU rRNA
Rfam family: Eukaryotic small subunit ribosomal RNA
Source: RNAcentral